This is a small nucleolar RNA of Phodopus roborovskii (desert hamster), 133 nucleotides long. RefSeq annotates it as small nucleolar RNA SNORA72. The record is from RefSeq and is a predicted model, not a curated record. Lineage: Eukaryota; Metazoa; Chordata; Mammalia; Rodentia; Cricetidae. The transcript has a single exon.
AUAUGGAUAUUGACCCUAUUCUGAUUCUGUGGUAAUCAGGACCAGCUAAACACACUCUACAGUUAAGUCUGUGUACAUGUUCCCAGACUUAGCUCUAUCCCUAGGCCUGGUUUUGUAAAAGUUGGUGAAAAGC